CACCGCGCGACAAUCUAAGUUUUUUUUAAUUUAUUUUAAAUAUAAACAAAUAUUUUUAUUGCUAGCAACACAAAUUAAUAACCAUUUUACAGUCACACAAGUUUAAUUUUCUUUCCAUCUGUCUACUACAGUAUAUAAUCAUUCAGCUGAAACUGUAUCAUGUAAACGGUGAAAUAUUGCAACGCGGCCAUAUCUCGCUCUUGCUCUUCCAUUCUACCCCGAUGACAAAAAUUACUACUAUAAUCCAGUGCAGGGAUGUUAAUUCUUUCGCUUAGUUCCGACAAAAUUGUUGAUUUAAUUUUGUGUUUAAUGAGUUAAAGUGCGACUUUCCAUUACCGCAGCAAGAAUUUCCUUUUGAUUUUUUUUAAGUUAGGUAGGGGUCUCAGUAGAACAUGUUUUAAAUAUUAAUGUGAGGAAACACCUUUGAGUCACACCAAAAAAAAUAUUUGCUUUUACGGACUUUACCCUACAUUUUUUAUUUGUAUUUCGUUUUUUUGAGCCUAAAACAAGUUUGUUUCCAUUGAUAGUACGGCGUACUAAGGGGCUCAUGCUGCCCCCCUACUUGGAAUCACUAUAGGAUUUGAGGUGGGUGCCACUUUGGGUAUAUGAAACAUUUAAGCACUAAAAUAAAAAAAAAUCAAGUAUGACAAGAAUGAACAAAACUAGGAAGAAAUGUCAAAAUCAACUAUUUUUGCGUGUUUUGUUUGUGAAAAGGUGAACUUUGAAAAGUAAUUUAAAAUAAAAAUAAAUGUUUCCGCAAUCUAAAAUUGCAAUAAUUAUUUAUUUACACAUGUCUUCCAAAUAAAAAAAAAAAAUGCGUGUCGAAAUUUGUGCUGCGGUAAUGGAAAGUUGAGCCUAAAUAUGAAAUCUAGUUUUACGUGAGGAGAAAAGAGAACAUAUUUAACACUUUUGCAUACAAAUAUUUUUGGUUGAAAAGUACCAAAAGAGCAGUACAUCUCUGGUGUUGGUGAUGGAGAACAGGAGAAGUGUUGUGUGUGUGUUGCUUGGGAUUGGGAGUUUCGGACUUUCGGUCCUACCUACGCCCGCUAUCGAUAAACCCUUCUCAUUCUCACUUCUUCUGGUGGAAUACGUACUAACUAUAUUCUAUACCUACACAAAUCUAUGUUGAAAGAUGACGAAAGUCUCGACAUCGCCAUCGACACUACAUUUUAUACCUACGUGUUCUUUUUUUUCACACACAAGGCUUGAUUUCUUUUUUCUUUCGUUCAGGAAAUACAUUUUCCAUUUCACAUCCAGCUAGUUAUCUUUUAUUAAAAAAAAAACAUUUGUCAACAAAAACAUUCACCAAAUAAGAAAAACACAAAUUUUAAAUAAAGUAUUAAAUAUUUAGCAAACAUUAAUAUUCCUUACUAACUUAACUAGUAAAAAAUUGAUUAUAUAAACGAAUGAUAUUCACUGGAAUUUUCCUAAGGCUUGCAGGUAUAUAAAGGAAGGAAAUAUAUGUAACUUUUUUCAACGGGGUUGUGUAUUUAACAAUUCUUACCUUAAGCCCAGUUUUUGUAUUUUUUUUUAAUUACGAGAGUAACGUUGAUCUUAUAAUCAACAAUAAUAAAAUUAAAAUUAUAUUAA
Molecule: long non-coding RNA, 1590 nt
Organism: Eupeodes corollae
Lineage: Eukaryota; Metazoa; Arthropoda; Insecta; Diptera; Syrphidae
Exons: 2
Source: RefSeq, a predicted model, not a curated record